This 497-nucleotide ribosomal RNA is filed under the name uncultured bacterium. Its description in RNAcentral is "partial 16S ribosomal RNA". It matches the Rfam family "Bacterial small subunit ribosomal RNA", at positions 28 to 507 of the family's 1533-position model. The record is from RNAcentral.
GAUGAACGCUGGCGGCGUGCCUAAUACAUGCAAGUCGAGCGAACAGACGAGGAGCUUGCUCCUCUGACGUUAGCGGCAGACGGGUGAGUAACACGUGGAUAACCUACCUAUAAGACUGGGAUAACUUCGGGAAACCGGAGCUAAUACCGGAUAACAUGUUGAACCGCAUGGUUCAACAGUGAAAGACGGUCUUGCUGUCACUUAUAGAUGGAUCCGCGCCGCAUUAGCUAGUUGGUAAGGUAACGGCUUACCAAGGCAACGAUGCGUAGCCGACCUGAGAGGGUGAUCGGCCACACUGGAACUGAGACACGGUCCAGACUCCUACGGGAGGCAGCAGUAGGGAAUCUUCCGCAAUGGGCGAAAGCCUGACGGAGCAACGCCGCGUGAGUGAAGAAGGUCUUCGGAUCGUAAAACUCUGUUAUUAGGGAAGAACAAAUGUGUAAGUAACUAUGCACGUCUUGACGGUACCUAAUCAGAAAGCCACGGCUAACUACGUG